CCUACGGGGGGCUGCAGUAGGGAAUAUUGCUCAAUGGGGGAAACCCUGAAGCAGCAACGCCGCGUGGAGGAUGAAGGUUUUCGGAUUGUAAACUCCUUUUGUUAGAGAAGAUAAUGACGGUAUCUAACGAAUAAGCACCGGCUAACUCCGUGCCAGCAGCCGCGGUAAUACGGAGGGUGCAAGCGUUACUCGGAAUCACUGGGCGUAAAGGGCGCGUAGGCGGGAUAGCAAGUCAGAUGUGAAAUCCUAUGGCUUAACCAUAGAACUGCAUUUGAAACUGUUAUUCUAGAGUAUGGGAGAGGUAGGUGGAAUUCGUGGUGUAGGGGUAAAAUCCGUAGAGAUCAAGAGGAAUACUCAUUGCGAAGGCGACCUGCUAGAGCAUAACUGACGCUGAUGCGCGAAAGCGUGGGGAGCAAACAGGAUUAGAUACCCGGGUAGUC
RNAcentral lists this ribosomal RNA (440 nucleotides) under uncultured bacterium. RNAcentral's name for it is "partial 16S ribosomal RNA". It matches the Rfam family "Bacterial small subunit ribosomal RNA", at positions 338 to 795 of the family's 1533-position model. The record is from RNAcentral.